RNAcentral lists this long non-coding RNA (1196 nucleotides) under Homo sapiens (human). RNAcentral describes it as "HSALNT0119442". The record is from RNAcentral. Lineage: Eukaryota; Metazoa; Chordata; Mammalia; Primates; Hominidae.
GUUGGUUUUAUUGAUUUGUCAGCUUGGCUAGGCUAUGUAAGGUCUCCAGUUGUUCAAUCAAGCACUAAUCUAGAUGUUGCAGGUAGGGUAUUUUGCAAACAUAAAUAAAAUUUCUAAUCAGUUAACUUUAAGUAAGAGAGAUUAUCCUGGAUAUUCUGCAUGGACCUGACUGAAUCCACUAGAAGGCAAAAACGCAGCAGAGAGAUUUCCUGAGAAAAAGAGACCUUCUGCCUAUGGACAACAGCCUCUAGCUGUUACUGUGGAGUUCCCUCCUGCUUGGACUCUUCCUUUCCUGACUACCUUGCUGUACAGGCUAAUAGCUUAAGCCUCCACCUGUGGGUUUGAGACUGCCCAUAAUCUCACUCUUCCUGACUGGCUGCCCUGCAGAUUCUGGACUUGCUUAGCCAGACCCCACAAUCAGAUUUGAGUCUACUUGCACUUGGACUGAUGUAGCUACAAAUCAAGAAGGAAAAGAAAAGAAAGGGAUGUUCCCAACCAUUCACACUGUUUGAAGUGCUGAGAACCAUCGACCCAACUCAGCUCGUAAUCUCCUUCGACUUUGAUGUUUCGCCAUGACCAGGCUCCAGGAGUUGCUCAAACAAAAAGAUGACAUAUCCUAAUGACCUGUGUGUUUUUCUUAAUGAUAGACUCAUAAAAAGAUGCUGAAGGUAGAGUAAAAAUAUAUGUGCUUACCUUUCUAUAUUCCUUCUCAUGUGUACUUGUGCAUAAGAACAUAAUUAUGUCUGGUUUUGUGCCUCCGGCAGACGCUAUUGUUUACUCACCCAGCAGGUACAUCUCAUCUCCUCCCUAUUUGUUGAACUGCUCCAAUUUUUUUCAGAUAAAAGGUGAUUAAACAUUUACCAGACCAUCACUGAGUGGUCUCUGGAAGUGUGAUGUUUGGCUCUAGUGACACCAUCUCGUUACCAGGAAUACAGACAUUAGUGGCACACUGAGAGUGCAGAUGGUGGAGGUGGGAGUGUGAUGGUGAUGAGAAAUCCUGAGUUCUUUAUAGCAUUCUUCAGCUGCUUAACCAGCCCUGGAAGCACUUCACCUUCAGAUCCUUUCUUAUGUUAACUAAUAGAUCUACAUUGUUUAAAUAUCUACUGCUCAAUAUCUUGUUACUUGACUUGAAGCUGAAAGUAGCAUGUACAGUCUGUGAAAACAGACAUAGAAUGGACUCAAUUUCUCCACUAAAG